CCUACGUGUGGCAGCAGUGAGGAAUAUUGGUCAAUGGCCGGAAGGCUGAACCAGCCAUGCCGCGUGAAGGUCAGUGCCCUAUGGGCGUUAAACUUCUUGUGUGCGGGAGCAAUAAUGGUCACGUGUGGACAGACGAGAGUAACGUACGAAUAAGCAUCGGCUAACUCGGUGCCAGCAGCCGCGGGAAUACGGGGGAUGCAAGCGUUAUCCGGAUGUAUUGGGGUUAAAGGGUGCGUAGGCUGUGAUGUAUGUCAGCGGUGAAAUGCCCCCGCUCAACGGGGUGCAGUGCCAUUGAUACUGCCUUCCUGGAAUGCGGAUGCCGUGGGAUGAAUGUGUGGUGUAGCGGUG
Molecule: ribosomal RNA, 348 nt
Filed under: uncultured bacterium
Lineage: Bacteria
Description: partial 16S ribosomal RNA
Rfam family: Bacterial small subunit ribosomal RNA
Source: RNAcentral